AUUGAACGCUGGCGGAAUGCUUUACACAUGCAAGUCGAACGGCAGCACGGACUUCGGUCUGGUGGCGAGUGGCGAACGGGUGAGUAAUGUAUAGGAACGCGCCCAGUCGUGGGGGAUAACGUAGGGAAAAUUACGCUAAUACCGCAUACGAUCUAUGGAUGAAAGCGGGGGAUCGCAAGACCUCGCGCGAUUGGAGCGGCCGAUAUCAGAUUAGGUAGUUGGUGGGGUAAAGGCCCACCAAGCCAACGAUCUGUAGCUGGUCUGAGAGGACGACCAGCCACACUGGAACUGAGACACGGUCCAGACUCCUACGGGAGGCAGCAGUGGGGAAUUUUGGACAAUGGGCGAAAGCCUGAUCCAGCCAUUCCGCGUGCAGGAUGAAGGCCCUCGGGUUGUAAACUGCUUUUGUACAGAACGAAAAGGUUUCUACUAAUACUAGGAGCUCAUGACGGUACUGUAAGAAUAAGCACCGGCUAACUACGUGCCAGCCGCCGCGGUAA
RNAcentral lists this ribosomal RNA (500 nucleotides) under uncultured bacterium. Its description in RNAcentral is "partial 16S ribosomal RNA". It matches the Rfam family "Bacterial small subunit ribosomal RNA", at positions 30 to 523 of the family's 1533-position model. The record is from RNAcentral.